CCUGGAGAAGGGAUGGGGAUUAACACAGACAGGGCCAGACACAGAGUGUCAGAGACAAGUCAAGGGAGUCCAAUUAAGUCUCAUUUAUUAAUAAAGUGGUCACUGGUUUUAUAUGGCAGGGGUGGGCUGGUGGGACACGAAGAGGCUAUGGGGUAAUCUCUGAUGGGUCAUCAUCAUGUCUGUGUAUGUGACGUAAGUAGGAGAGGACUAUGGUUAAUAUAGGCAGGUGCAUUAUGUGCCCAUAGGAGGGAGAGGCGGGGAGACAGCAGUGGGGCAGUUGCACCACUCCCUACAACAAAUAAAUAACCUAAUGCUACAUCUCAAGUUUCUAGAAAAGGAGGAGCAAGUCAAACCCAAAGCUCAUACAAGAGAGACAAUUGUAAAGAUUAGAGCAGAAAUUAAUGCAAUUGAAACUAAAAAAAAUGCAGAAAAUUAACGAAUCAAUGAGUUGGUUUUUUUUUUUUUUGAGAGAGAGAAUAAACAAAACUGAUAACCUUCUUAUUAAGAAAAAGAAAAAAUUCAAAUCCACACAAUAAGGACUGAAAAGAUGGAAAUUAGUACAGAUGCCAUGGAAAUUCAAAAGAUCAUGAACACAUACUUUGAAAAUCUCUACUCACAUAGAGUCAAAAACACAGAGGAAAUGGACAGAUUUCUAGAAACAUGAAUUAUUGAGGCUCAAUCAAGAAGAUAUAACAAUUCUGAGUAAAUCAGUAUCAGCUACUGAAAUUGAAAAUGAUUUAUCAACUUACCAACAAAGGAAUAUCUAGGUCCUGAUAUAUUCACGGCUGAAUUUCAUAAGGAAUUUAGAGAAUACCUGACUCCAAUAUUUCUUAAACUCUUCAAUGAAAUUGAAAGAGAAACAGUCCUCCCUAACUCAUUCUUGGAGUCAAGUAUCACUAUGAUACCAUUAGAGAAAGACACAACCAAAGCGGAAAAAUACAGACCAAUCUCACUAAUGAACACUGAUUCAAAGAUUCUCUAUAAAAUAUUGGCAAAUAGAAUGCAGCAAAUCAUUGAGAGGAUUAUGUAGCAUGACCAACUGGGAUUGAUUCCAAGAUGGCAGGCAUGGUUCAAAAUAUGCUAAUCAAUAAAUGUAAUACUCCACAUCAACAGAGCCAAAAAUAAAAAUCACGUGAACUUCUCAAUAGAUGCAGAAAAAUCUUUUGAUAAAAUCCAACACUUGUUCAUGAUGAAAACCCUACAGAAAGUCAGAAUAGAUGGUAUCUACCUCAGUCUCAUAAAGACCAUUUAUGACAAACCUACAGCCAAUGUUAUGCUAAGUGGACAAAAACUGAAAGCCUUCACACUAAAAUCAGGAACAAAAAAAAUGAUGUGCACUAUCACCACUCCUAUUCAAUAUAGUUCUGGAACUAUUAGCAGAGCAAUCAGACAAGAUGGAGAAAUAAAGGGAAUAAAAAUAGGAAAAGAAGAAGUUAAGUUAUUAUUUGCAGAUGACAUGAUACUUUGCAUAGAAGACCCCCAAAAAUCUAUUAAAAGCCUAUUAAGAUGAUAAACAGCAGCAUACCUGGAUAGAAAGUCAAUACUCAAAAAUCAAUAGUAUUCCUGUACACAAAAUCUCCAAGAGAGAGAAAUUAUGAAAUAUCGCCUUUCACAAUAGCAUCAAAAAAAUGAAAUACUUAGGAAUCAACCUAUCCAAGAAUGUAAAAGACCUAUAUGAUGAAAAUUAUACUACUCUAAAAAAGGAGAUUGAAGAGGAUAUUAGAAAAUGAAAGGAUAUUCCUUGAUCAUAGUUAGGAACAACCAACAUUGUGAAAAUGGUGAAACUCUCCAAACUGUUAUAUAUAUUCAAUGCAAUCCCAAUCAAAAUAUCAUUAACACACCUUACAGAUCUAGAGGAAAUAUUCCCCCAAAUUCAUCUGGAAACAGAAGAAACCUAGAAUAGCAAAGGCAAUACUGGACAACAAAGACAAAGAAGGAGGCAUCUCAAUUCCUGACUUGAAACUAUACUGCAAAGCCAUGGUGAUAAAAUCAGCAUGCUGUUGGCAAGGAAAUAGACCAUAGGAUCAGUGGAACAGAUAGAAGAUAUAAACACUGCCACAGAGACACUCAGCCACCUUAUAUUUGACAAAGGAGCUAAACAUGUUCACUGCAAGAAAGAUAGCCUUUUUAAUAAAUGGUGUGGGAAAAAUUGGCUUUCCACAUGCUGAAGACUAAAACUAGACCCAUGCCUAUCACUAUACAUUUAACUAAAGUCAAAAUGGAUCAAGGAUCUAAAAGUUAAAAAAGAAACACUAAAUCUACUGGAGGACAAGUUAGGUAGAAAUCUUGGAGACAUAGGGCUAGGCAGAGAAUUCAUGAAUAAAACACAAGCUGUAUGGGAAAUACUUCAAAAAAUCAACAACCAGGAUCUCAUAUUAUUAAAAUGUUUUUGAACUUCAAAGGAAAUCACCAACAAAGUGAACAGAAAUCCCACAGAAUGGGAAAUAAUUUUAACUAACUAUCCUUCAGACAAGGGAUUCAUAUCCAGAACAUAUAAAGAAUUGAAAAACAUCAAAUCCCCCAGAUUCCAAGACCCUCUCCAAAAAUGGGCAUCAGAGAUGAAUAUACAGUUUUCAGAUGAAGGUAUACAAAUGGCAAAUAAAUAUAUAAAGAAAUAUUCACCAUCAUUGGUUGUUCAAGAAUUCCAAAUUAAGACAGCAUUGAGAUUUCAUCUCACUCUGGAAAGAAUGGCCGCCAUCGAGAAAUCAACUGAUAACAAAUCUUGGUGAAGUGCACCACUGCACUUCUCCACUGUUGGUGUAAGUGCCGACUGUUGCAGCCACUGUGGAAAUCAGUAUGGAGAUUCCUCAAAAACCUAGGAUUUGAAGUUCCAUUCAAUCCUGCUUUUCUUCUAGGAAUUUUCAAAGAAAAAUUGAAAAUGUCAUGUCACAGUGAUAUAUGUGCACUCAUGUUCAUUGCACAAUUUGUGAUAGGUAAAUCUUGUAAACAACCAAAAUGCUCAUUAACUGCAGAGUGGAUGAAAAGAAUGUAUUUUUACACAAUUGAUAACUACUCAGCUAUAGAAAAGGAUGAUCUUGAGGCCUUUAUUGGUAAAUGUAGGCAAGUUGACAAUGUGCUCAUUAGUGAAAUUAAAAGACUCACAUUAGUAAAUAUCACAUUAUCUCUAUGGUGUUAAAAGUAAUAAAAAAAACUGACCAAGUAAUGAGAUCCAAAAAGUAUAAAAUAUUGCAAAGGAGAAAGGGAAAAUAGUGUUCUAAAGGAAAUAAUGAUAUGUAUAAUGUGUAAGAUAGAUGCCCAUAUUACUACAUUUCUGUGAGAUAUUGAAAAGAAGGGUUUGUACUGCCUAUGUUUAAGUAGUUAGCCACUUUUUACACUUUGUUUUUGUAACUUUAACAACUAUUUUUAAGGUGACAAUAUAUAAUGUAUCAUCCAAUGGUUUUAUGAUGUUAAAUUUUAAAAAUUUCUCUAUUCUACUUUUUUUUUCUAUUUUGUUUCCUUUCAUUUUCUUUAAAUAAAAAAUUUUUUAAAAAAGAAAUGAAUCUGGUAUUCUCUACCCUCCAGGCCUUGCAGCAGGAUCUGCUCAUGCAGUGAUGGGAAUCCUUGGGAUCCACCUGACUCUGCAUGGCCAUAAGCUGCACUGUGGUGGGAUUAGUGGUAUUAUGCUUUACAUUUAUUGUUGUCGUGGUCUUUGUGUGCAUGAGUCCACCCUAGGGGUCACUUACAAUAAACACAUUUUCCCUCAUCUUUCAAUUGGUGGAAUAUGGGAAACCACUUCACAGUGCUUCAGCCCCAAAGACUUUGAGGACAUGUAUGGACCUCACCUAACUAAUUAGCAUAUGAACAGCAUGAACACAAUUCUAUAAGCAUGACUUAUCAUAGACAGCCAUGGAUAUGCUGAAGCUUGUAACAGUACACAAGAAUGCAUUCCCUGAUACGGAUGGAGAUAUAUAUAUAGAGAGACACUUGCUUACUGCUAUUGCUAAUGUUGGCUCAGGUGGUUUAUUUUCUCUGGGCAUCUUACCCACUAAAAUACCCAUUCACCUCCCUAACUCUGAGAAAAUCCCAUACCACAGACACAGGGAACUUUAAUACCCCACAAUACUAAAGUUGUGUGUGAUUAACAGCCCCUGUGCCCUGUUCCAAGGCAUUCAUCACAUCCUGAGGCGCAAAUCUCUGUGGGGUACAACUUUAGAAAGAGAUCGAGUUUCAUGCCUGUGCCUUGGAGAUCAUUUCUUGAUCUAUGUGAUAGACAUUUGCCCCACUUCCAUACCUACUCUGUACCCCACAAGGCAUUAAAGUUCUCAAAUGUUCUGACCUGGACCUGGAACGUAGCUCCCCACAGAGCAGACAUGCAGUUCUCCAGCAGACUGGUUGGAGCAUGGUCUCAGGUGAGUCAGUCCCAGGCUGGAGGCCAAGGACAAUAGUGUCUGUUGGCCCCACUCUCACACAAUGGAGCUUCUUACCAGAAUAUCUUAGCCUCCCUUGAUCCCUGAACCCGUGGGGACUCACUUUUUCUAUGUGUUAUAGUGUGUUAAAACCAGGCACAGCAUUAAGGCAUGGUAGUGACAACACAUGUCUAGCACAACCCCUCCUGAAGGUGGCUCCCCAUGGACUCUGCAAGCCAUCUAUUCUCAACAUAUUGUACCAUCUUGGAGCUGAUCACACUGAGGAAGUGCACAGAACAAGGGCAGGAGCAGGUGCUGGAUCCCACAGAGGUAGGCAGCCCUUCUCUGUGUGUGGACCUCAGUGCCUGUCAGGGCAUCGGGAUGGCCCUCUUGAAUGAAUUAGGGAGAUCCCUGCCUGGUGGUAUUGAGUCAGGGUGGCAGUGGACACUGGCUGUGUCUGGCAGCCAAAUGGGGCAACGCAGAGUGUAUACCACUGCCACCUGCUCAAGACAUCCUUCCACACUAAUUCUUUUGUGGUUCCCCUGCCAGACUUUUUCUACCCUCCUUUUCCACUCCAAUCUUCCUUGGAACUUUGAAUGGAAUCAAAGGAGGAGGCACUGCAUGUGUAGCUGCCCAAAGUCUAGAUGUCACUGUUCUCUGCUGUCACCCAAAAGGAGUGAACAGCACCCAGACAGGAGAUGGCCCAAGGCUUACAUGUGUAUAACGUGCCACUGUCUCAGGGACUGACUCUCAGGUAAGGUGGUCAUGGCCAUUGCCAUUUCUGUCUUGCCUGCUAGUUGCCAGGUGCUGCUGUGUUCUCACUUUUCUGCCAUUGACUCCAGAGGCAAAUACCUAGUGUUCAGGUCCAGGUGUCAGGGAGGCUUUACCCAAGUGUAGUGGGAGGAGGCAAACAUCCUUGAGAUGCACAAUGGGCCGGCUGAGGUCUGAGUGGCUGCAGAGUGGGGUGAGAAUCCCAUAUAUUUCCUUCCCCACCAUAUUGAUGCUAGGGUCUUGGUGUACAGUGCAAAGUUCCUUCCAGGUAACUGUCACUUUUUGCUAAAUCUUUCUGUCUCACAACUCAUCAUGAGAUCCUUAAUUAUUUUUAUUAGUAUAUUUUUAUUAAUAGCUGUUUACAGUGUUUACUGAUUAUUUUGAUGAUAGGUCCAUGGCACAUGUGAUGGGUGGAAUGGAAAUUAGGCCCUACCUUGUGCAUAAUGGUACAAUCUGUCAACCAGUGACUGUUCUCAAGCUGUGUGUGUAUGACAAAGUAUGUCAUAUAUAAAAAGUAUGCUGAUAAAAGAAUGUUGAAGGCUCUGCUAAUCUUCUCCACCCAGACUGCCUGGCACUAGCUCAGCCUUCAAAACUUGGUGGGAGAGGCAGGAGAGAAAGGUAGAGGAAGAUAAGGUGCUUUCUCCUCCAAGACAGCAGAUAUACAGAGGUAAGGGGCACUUUCAGCUGUCACUGUUAGACCCACUUCUGAGCCUGUAUCCUGAGGCCAGAGAGGAGACAGCAGUUUUGAUUGCUUUGCUAGAAAUGAGGAGUCUGAGCAGAGCUACAGAGACAGGGCUUGGGAGCCACACUGAGGGCUCCUCCAGAUUUGUCUGCAUUUGGUUUUCACUUUCUGUUCCAUGACUCAGUCAUCACCAGCUUUUGGCAGUGUGGGUUCACUUGUCUCCCCAAGAAUGAACUGCUUCUGGGGAUCUCGGGCAGCCAGCACACAUCUAGAUUUCUAUGUGUCUGUGUUAGGUUGGGCAUAGAGCAAAGUAUAAAAGUACAUGUUCCUAUGAUAGUAAGAUUGGUGCCAGAGACUCCAUUACCAAGGACUUAAAGCUCAUGCUUUGCUCUUCAGGUUUGCAUCUGCAUGAAGCACCCAUUGCUUGCCAGCUAGAGUGCAUCUUUCCUGUGUCAGGCUUCUCAUCUGUUGCUCUUUUUUUCCCACAUGUCAGAAGUGGAUUUUCUUGCUUUGUGUUUGGUUUAUAAAUCAUUGUAUACUUUAUUAGUACCUGUUUACAGUGUAUACUGUUUAUGUUGGUUAUAGGUCUAUGGCUCAUAUGAUAUGUAGAAUGGAAAUUAGGCCCUACUUUGUGUAUAAUGGUACAAUCCAUCGACCAGUGACUGUUCUCAAAGUUGCCUGCACUGAGCAUACAUCUCAGGGCCAAGACAUGGUGAGCACAAGGUGCUGCUUUGUCUGGAUUUUCUUUUCUUUAUAUCAAUGCAAUGGGCAAUGAUGUAAUACUUGGGAGCUUAGCCCAACCUUAACCCUUACACUAACCUGAACCGUAAUCCUAACUCUAAGCCUAAAAAGUCACUGCCAACAUUCUCUGGCCAAAGAAAACUUGAUGUGGGACAAGACAGCAGAUAUACAGAGGUAAGGGGCACUUUCCUGUGGGAAAUGUAACAUAGAUUAAUUAUGAGGAUGUAAGAUCAGUUGGGGUUCGGACAGAGCAGAAGGGGAAAGAAAAGAAAACAUCUUUGGGUAAAAAAAUUUGAAGAAUAUAUUCUGGAAUUGAACAGUGGUGAAA
Long non-coding RNA from Cavia porcellus (domestic guinea pig), 6868 nucleotides. RefSeq lists it as uncharacterized. Lineage: Eukaryota; Metazoa; Chordata; Mammalia; Rodentia; Caviidae. The transcript is spliced from 2 exons. The record is from RefSeq and is a predicted model, not a curated record.